UCCCAUAUAGUGUAGUGGUUUAGCAUUCCAGAUUUUCAGGGUUCACUCCAAUCUUCUGGCGACCCGGGUUCGAACCCCGGUAUGGGAA
Molecule: non-coding RNA, 88 nt
Organism: Podospora fimiseda
Lineage: Eukaryota; Fungi; Ascomycota; Sordariomycetes; Sordariales; Podosporaceae
Source: the annotation of a GenBank genome assembly